Molecule: long non-coding RNA, 354 nt
Filed under: Phoenix dactylifera (date palm)
Lineage: Eukaryota; Viridiplantae; Streptophyta; Magnoliopsida; Arecales; Arecaceae
Description: long non-coding RNA (PDAC_LNC000077)
Source: RNAcentral
CAAGCCGCUCGCAACUCUGCCCCUGGGACCGAAGUAUCGAAAAAUCUGACGGCCCCCUGCUGCCACCACAUCGGACGUCGGGCCCCUAACAACAAAACCGACCCCUCCCCUCCUACCACCAUCCAAGACAGAGCCAUCAAAAUUGACCUUGAGGAAACUCGGGGGUGGGGGCUCCCAGGUAAAGAAUACCCUAUGUGGAGCUGCCGAAGCACUGUAGGAUCCCCAGAUGUCCCGAGCUAUCAAAGGUCUAUGAGCUGGCCCUGCCUGGAUCAUCUCUGUCGCCUGAGAACAGGCCCGCUCCAUCACAAACCGUAGGGACAGCCGACGCUCACCAAACACCCGGGUGUUCCUGGC